AGGCUCACUUUGCCAGCACAUACACUAAAACUGGAAUGAUACAGAGAAGAUUAGCAUGGCCCUUGUGCAAGGAUGACACACAAAUUUGUGAAGCAUUCCAUAUUAAA
Molecule: small nuclear RNA, 107 nt
Filed under: Jaculus jaculus (lesser Egyptian jerboa)
Lineage: Eukaryota; Metazoa; Chordata; Mammalia; Rodentia; Dipodidae
Source: RNAcentral